Molecule: ribosomal RNA, 468 nt
Filed under: uncultured bacterium
Lineage: Bacteria
Description: bacterial SSU rRNA
Rfam family: Bacterial small subunit ribosomal RNA
Source: RNAcentral
UAGGGAAUAUUGGACAAUGGGCGCAAGCCUGAUCCAGCCAUGCCGCGUGCAGGAUGACGGUCCUAUGGAUUGUAAACUGCUUUUUGUACAGGAAGAAACAGUUCUACGUGUAGAACCUUGACGGUACUGUAAGAAUAAGGAUCGGCUAACUCCGUGCCAGCAGCCGCGGUAAUACGGAGGAUCCAAGCGUUAUCCGGAAUCAUUGGGUUUAAAGGGUCCGUAGGCGGUUAGAUAAGUCAGUGGUGAAAGCCCAUCGCUCAACGGUGGAACGGCCAUUGAUACUGUCUGACUUGAAUUAUUAGGAAGUAACUAGAAUAUGUAGUGUAGCGGUGAAAUGCUUAGAGAUUACAUGGAAUACCAAUUGCGAAGGCAGGUUACUACUAAUGGAUUGACGCUGAUGGACGAAAGCGUGGGUAGCGAACAGGAUUAGAUACCCACGUAGUCCCUGAGCGGGCUGGCAAGGCGCAU